AACUUCUCAACCACACAAUGAUUGUCGUGGCUUUGGAUGUGGGGGAUUUUGCAGGCUUCUUUCAGAAGUCUGCUCCCCUGAAAUGCAUUAGUGGUCUUCUGAGCUGCUACAGGUGUGAUUAAUUAUCUACAUCUCCAGUAUCGCUGCAGACACUGCUUCUAAAAACGAGUGGAACAGGACACAUGAA
Molecule: unclassified non-coding RNA, 187 nt
Filed under: uncultured Agaricales
Lineage: Eukaryota; Fungi; Basidiomycota; Agaricomycetes; Agaricales
Description: sequence contains ITS2
Source: RNAcentral